GGUGGUUGUACUGGUGUAAGAGUGUAGGCCGUGACAUAGGCAAAUCCGUGUCACAUUAAGGCUGAGACUUGAUGCAUACCCGUUGUGGGGAAUUCAGUGAUCCUAUGCUGCCGAGAAAAGCCUCUAGUGAGUUCAUACACGGCCCGUACCCCAAACCGACACAGGUGAUCAGGUAGAGAAUACCAAGGCGAUCGAGAGAACUGUGGUUAAGGAACUCGGCAAAAUGCCCCCGUAACUUCGGGAGAAGGGGGACCAUGCCCGGUGAACAUCUUCACGGUGGGAGCUGGGUGUGGUCGCAGAGACCAGAGAGAAGCGACUGUUUACUAAAAACACAGGUCCGUGCGAAGACGUAAGUCGAUGUAUACGGACUGACGCCUGCCCGGUGCUGGAAGGUUAAGAGGACCGGUUAGCCGUAAGGCGAAGCUGAGAAUUUAAGCCCCAGUAAACGGCGGUGGUAACUAUAACCAUCCUAAGGUAGCGAAAUUCCUUGUCGGGUAAGUUCCGACCUGCACGAAUGGCGUAACGACUUCUCUGCUGUCUCGACCACAGACUCGGCGAAAUUGCACUACGAGUAAAGAUGCUCGUUACGCGCGGCAGGACGAAAAGACCCCGGGACCUUUACUAUAGCUUGGUAUUGGCGUUCGAUUCGGUUUGUGUAGGAUAGGUGGGAGACUGUGAAGCAUGCACGCCAGUGCGUGUGGAGUCGUUGUUGAAAUACCACUCUGAUCGUAUUGGACGUCUAACCUCGGCCCAUGAUCUGGGUUAGGGACAGUGCCUGGUGGGUAGUUUAACUGGGGCGGUUGCCUCCUAAAGAGUAACGGAGGCGCCCAAAGGUUCCCUCAGCCUGGAUGGCAAUCAGGUGUUGAGUGCAAGUGCACAAGGGAGCUUGACUGUGAGACUGACACGUCGAGCAGGGACGAAAGUCGGGACUAGUGAUCCGGCACCGGCAAGUGGAAGCGGUGUCGCUCAACGGAUAAAAGGUACCCCGGGGAUAACAGGCUGAUCUUCCCCAAGAGUCCAUAUCGACGGGAUGGUUUGGCACCUCGAUGUCGGCUCGUCGCAUCCUGGGGCUGGAGUAGGUCCCAAGGGUUGGGCUGUUCGCCCAUUAAAGCGGCACGCGAGCUGGGUUUAGAACGUCGUGAGACAGUUCGGUCUCUAUCCGCCGCGCGCGUAAGAAACUUGAGGAAGGCUGUCCCUAGUACGAGAGGACCGGGACGGACGAAUCUCC
This 1228-nucleotide ribosomal RNA is filed under the name metagenome. Its description in RNAcentral is "bacterial LSU rRNA". It matches the Rfam family "Bacterial large subunit ribosomal RNA", at positions 1497 to 2710 of the family's 2925-position model. The record is from RNAcentral.